RNAcentral lists this ribosomal RNA (217 nucleotides) under uncultured Rhizophagus. RNAcentral describes it as "partial small subunit ribosomal RNA". It matches the Rfam family "Eukaryotic small subunit ribosomal RNA", at positions 559 to 773 of the family's 1831-position model. The record is from RNAcentral. Lineage: Eukaryota; Fungi; Glomeromycota; Glomeromycetes; Glomerales; Glomeraceae.
GUCUGGUGCCAGCAGCCGCGGUAAUUCCAGCCUCCAAUAAGCGUAUAUUAAAGUUGUUGCAGUUUAAAAAAGCUCCGUAGUUGAAUUUCGGGGUUAGUAGGUUGGUCAUGCCUCUGGUAUGUACUGGUCUCACUGAUUCCUCCUUCCUGAUGAACCGUAAUGCCAUUAAUUUGGUGUUGCGGGGAAUUUGGACUGUUACUUUGAAAAAAUUAGAGUG